CGUUCACUCCCAGACGCUUGAUUUUUAUCGGUGGUUAGCUGAACGCUUGAAUCAAAUGUAAACAAUAUGGCGAACCGCUAUUUCGCACUGACGGUGGUGCAGUUGAAGAAGGAGCUUGCCUGUAGAAACGCCACGACGCAAGGAAGGAAGAUAGAUUUAGUUAGACGAUUAGAAGCAUAUGACAGAAAUGCCAAUUUCCAGCAGCCACCUGUUCUGUUACCAGAUCCUUUGGACGUAAACUGGCCUACAACAGGAUUCCAACAACUCAAUUCAGAACACAGGAAAUUACUACCUUCCAUUACAAGGGAACAGAUAGAAGCCUAUUUUCUCCAUAGACUUGCUGGAGAUAAUGAAGCGGCAUGUGAUAUCAAGGCAGUUAAGAAUGGGGAACUAUUGUACCAAUCCGAGAGAGUUUUGGCAUGCUCAGUUAUCAUUGAAAAUGAUGUAUUUUUUACUGGAAUAGUCAGUGCAGCCAUGAAAAAUAAGGUCACAUACAGCUAUAAACUAAGGCUGGAGAAAGAAUCUGGAGAUGUGCUAAACUCACACUGUGAAUGCCCUGCAGGGAAAGGCCCAAAUGGUACAUGAAAGCACCUAGCUGCUUGCAUGAUUAUGCUUGAACAUUUUAUUGAGAAUGGUGAAGUGGCGGUGCAGAAAUCAUGUACAGAAAAUUUGAUGAUGUUCAACAAGCCAAAGGCAUCCCAUAAAGGAUCUCCAGUCAAAGUUGAAAAAAUUACAAUUGGGAAGAGAAAAUCAGCGGUUCAUUUGGAUGACCCACGACCAGAAAAGUUUAGGAAUGUAGAGGGCAUGCAAGAUCGGGUCAGAAACCUAUUAAUCAACUAUACAUCAAAUACUUCUGAAGACAUUGCAUUUCGUUAUCUUUAUGAGAGAGCAGAUUUGAAGUCUGCAAUUCUUAUCACUGCCUUUCACAGAAUACUGGGUGGAUAAAGCAUUACAGGUAACUGAAUCAGAGGUGGCAAGUAUUGAAAAAGAAACAAGGGGACAAUCUACAAAUAAGAGAUGGUUUGCAGAGAGAAUGUGGAGAAUCACAGCAUCAAAUUUUGGGCAGAUUUCAAGAAUGACAGACAGACGUAACAAACAGAAGCUUUGUAAAUCAUUGAUAUCUAUCAAGAGCCUCACCACCCCCGCAGUCACUCAUGGAAAAUCAUAUGAAAAAAAAGCAAUCAAAAAGUUUGAAGAUAACCACAACAUAAGAGUUCAUGAGAAUGGUUUAUUCAUUUGUUCAAAAAUGCCAUUUCUAGGUGCAACACCAGAUGGCGUUAUAGAUGAUAAAUAUAUAAUAGAGGUGAAAUGUCCUUAUAAAGGGCGGAAACAAGAAAUCAACACAAACACAAUGGAAUAUUUCACUUAUUUAGAGGUAGUGGGUGGGGAAAUCAAGCUGAAAAUAUCUUCCAAUUACUAUGAUCAAAUUCAGGGACAACUGUAUAUAAGUGGCAGACAAUUUUGUUAUUUUAUUGUGUAUACACUAAAGUCACUAUUUGUAGAAAUUAUUGAAAUCAACAGAGAAUACUGUGAAAUGUGCCUUAUACCAAAACUGGAGUCGUUUUAUACAAAACAUUACAGACCUUUCAUUGCCUCAAAUUUAUAAAUGAUUGCAAAUUAGGCCAAUUAAAGUUAAUUGAUAGAUUAUCAUCCCCACCCGCCCCUCAAAAAAGGGCCCAUCCCGAUUUUUUUAAUGCAAAAAUUAUGAUUUCAAACAAACUUGCUUCCCAGUGACAUGAGUGAAUGAUUAAAGUCACAGAAUGUUGUUUUAUAUAUAUAUAUAUUCUACCAAGGAAUCUUUGAAUUCCUUACUUGAUUAACACUUUGUGUGAUGUCUGUUUUCAUUAAUUUUUUUUUCUCAGGAAAUAAAAAUUCAAAAAUUAUAUUCUCCCACCCGCCCCAUUUUUUUUUUUUUACCCCAGAUGGUAAUCUACUAAUUAGGUUGAAUUGGCCUUACUUUGAAACCACCUCCUUCUGUACUACUUAAAUGUAUGCUACAAAUGAAACAAUAUAUUUCCAUAAAAUUGACUACAUGUUGUGAAGUAUUGCAGGGAACACUUCAGAUUGCCUAAUAAAAUUGCCCCCAAUAUGUAAUCUGAAAUUUUGGACUUUUCAUUAUGUCAAUAUGGUGUGAUAUAUUCUAAAUUUAAAAAUAUUAACCAAGGCAAUAGCUUGGAUCAGUAUUUUCAAACUGAGUAAAUAUCAGAAUAGAGAGAAAUUUUAUGAUGGUGAAUAUCUUACAAUGCUAACAAGCAUAUCUUAUAUGAAUUAUAUUUAGAUAAGUAAAUGCUAGUGUCACUACCUUCAUAUAUAUAUUAUUCAUAUAUGUAUGAAUUCAAUAAAACCAAUUGUCGAGGACUGAUCAACAUAAAAUGUGAUUAAUUCACAAGAAAUGAUAAGAAUUGAGAAAAUCUGUUUAAAACUGCACAUCAUCAUUUAGCCUCUUUUGCUUUAAUAUCAUCACAACUUAUGCAAAUUUAUCUACAAUUGACCUUCUAAAAUUGCUUAGCACAAAGCAGAUAUAAAUGAUUCGGGAUCCAAGCUGAAUUUUGCUGUGACUAAGUUCAUUCUUUAGAAUUUUAAAACGUUUUGCCAGACCAAUGACCCUUUCUACAUGUAUGCGUUUUGAAGCUACACGUCGAUCAUGUACUACU
This is an RNA transcript of Ostrea edulis (European flat oyster), 2654 nucleotides long. RefSeq lists it as uncharacterized. The transcript is spliced from 7 exons. Lineage: Eukaryota; Metazoa; Mollusca; Bivalvia; Ostreida; Ostreidae. The record is from RefSeq and is a predicted model, not a curated record.